GCCUCUGUAGCAUAGUGGUUAUUGCGUGUGCCUCGUAAGCGCAAGGUCAUCGGUCCGACUCCGGUCAGGGGCA
Tritrichomonas foetus is the source of this 73-nucleotide transfer RNA. It matches the Rfam family "tRNA". From Rfam's summary of the family: Transfer RNA (tRNA) molecules are approximately 80 nucleotides in length. Their secondary structure includes four short double-helical elements and three loops (D, anti-codon, and T loops). Further hydrogen bonds mediate the characteristic L-shaped molecular structure. tRNAs have two regions of fundamental functional importance: the anti-codon, which is responsible for specific mRNA codon recognition, and the 3' end, to which the tRNAs corresponding amino acid is attached (by aminoacyl-tRNA synthetases). tRNAs cope with the degeneracy of the genetic code in two manners: having more than one tRNA (with a specific anti-codon) for a particular amino acid; and 'wobble' base-pairing, i.e. permitting non-standard base-pairing at the 3rd anti-codon position. The record is from Rfam. NCBI's taxonomy places the organism in Eukaryota, Parabasalia, Tritrichomonadida, Tritrichomonadidae.